GCCGGCUUCGGCCCGUCGGCGCCGGGGACGGCGGAGCCGGCGGCCAUGCACGCCGCCGGUAGCGGCGUGCGGAGCGUUCGGGCCGCUCAGGCCGGCGC
RNAcentral lists this transfer RNA (98 nucleotides) under Paractinoplanes toevensis. Its description in RNAcentral is "Actinoplanes toevensis tRNA-Ala". Lineage: Bacteria; Bacillati; Actinomycetota; Actinomycetes; Micromonosporales; Micromonosporaceae. The record is from RNAcentral.